UAAUAAUAAUAAUAAUAAAAAGAAGAAUCUACACGGUUUUCGUUCUAUAGAAUGAGUACCGAGCCCUUAUCAAUUAGCAGCCUAAACCCUUGUUACUUAAAGGGCGGCCCCUGAAACAGAAUUUGAGAAAUUAGUCGGAUAUGCUGCCAAAUCAGCAUUCAAUGCCAUAUCAGCUAAGGGCGGCUAAGCAUGCCAUCUCGGAUCGGAUAAGUCAGUCUCCUAUGCUGCCAUAAAGUUAAAGUUAAAGUCAUGCUUUUCAUCCAAUUUCAGGCGCAGAGAGCUAAGAUAAAGUAGCUAAAUAGAGCUAGGCGACUCGAUUGCUAUUCGACCAAGCUUAGUGGGUUUGUGCAGGCGAAAGUCUCCUGAGGCACUUCUGGUCUGAUGCUGAGUAGCCAAAAGGUUAUGCUAAGACCCCCAAGGGGCUGCAGCCUCAACCACUGGGGCAAGCUUUGAGAAAGGGUUUUCGUCAGUCCUCUUUCUUAGUUUAGUACUCUUUUCCACAGGCUAAUGCGGAAUCUAUUCUGGGCGUGGACCAGGUGCGGCAGCAAUUCCUACGGCCGCAGACUCUUCAACUGGCUAAGACGCUGAAGCAACCUCACUGGAAACAAAAUCAAUGUCUGUAAAGUAAACAGAAUCUAGUUGAGAAACCCCAAUCUAUCGUGAACUAUCCGCAGAAUCGCUUCGCCCCUGCUGACGAUGACCUGGAAGCUAGCUCUGGUUUAGCAUAUGCAUAUGAAACAGCACAGCUCACGCUAAACGCUCCUGCGUCAAGCUUUCUUGCUGGACACUUUACCUCUAGUGGCUUAACUCCUGAAGCAGGUAUUUUAUGCUUUUCUGCUGGAAACGUCGAAACUGUAGCUUGCUUUGCUUAUAGGGCAUUAUAAAAUAAAGAAAGUCUUCCACUUUAGAAAGAGAGUAUGAAACUUUGCUUAAUACUAUUAAGAAUUACAAUUGAAAAAAAAAAAAAAAAAACUUCCGAUCAUCAUGAAACAGAAUUACUUGAAGGAAAUGUUACCAGUUACAUUGAUACCCAUGAAUCCUCAAUAACCUCAAUCAAUAAAAUUAACACUUUUUCCAGCUCAUAAAGCAGUUCUGUUCACUUACAGAUAGGUUCUAGAAAAAUCAAAUAAUUACAGUCCAAGAAAAUCUUCUGGUCAACUAAAAUGAAUGCUUCCAUGUCAAUGGUCAUGAUAAGCAUACCAAAAAUGAAUAGUUAUAAAUAAUCUCACCAUACCUAAAAAAUCGCUUUGUGAAUUCACAAUGUACACACACCUCAUAUAAAGAAGAGACUAAUAUUCAGCAAAUGAUGCUUGAGAGUAGAGGGAAAAGUACUGGCUUUUGGGAAGAAUAAUUAGAAAUCUGUUGUUACAAAUGAAUAAAGAGAAAAGAAACUAACUUUUAUUCCCACUGUUGGAGUCUUGGAGAUAAUUUAGCAUGAUGUAUAGCAAUUAUUCACCAAAAAUGAGAAGAAACCAAAGAAAAUUUACUCUUUUGACAUACAUUAGAUAGGAGCUCAGAACCACUUUGCAGUAACUGAGACAACAUUUCAACCCUUUGUUCUUCAGUCAGAGGACCCAUACUUAUUUCAUGGCUGAAGCAACGUCUUACAGUUGGAGGUAGGCCCUCAGAACUCUCAGCAGUUGCAACUAAGAGCACCUGAUGCCUACUUAUUUUUCCAAUAUCCUUGACCGGCUGCAUCAUCAAGGUAUAAGAGUAAGCAUCCCUGACAAAUCCUAACAGAGUACAAGUUUUAUUUUUGAGUAAUUAGUAAUUAAUAAUAGUUUUUUCCUUCUAUGAGCAGAAAUUGCCUUAACAUCUUAAAGUUGUAAAACUAUGAAGCAAGAGCCUUUGAAAGUACUUCAGUCAAGAGACACUGAAAGACACUUUGAAUCUCCCAGUUAUCGGUCUUCUAAGUUAAUUCGAUUCCUAGAGAUGUUGGGCUGCUAUUCCAACAUAUCAUGUUCUUUUUUGUUUCUUUCAUGACUGUGCUGCUACUUUUUAUGAAUCUUUCUCCAUUUUAUGCUGGAGGGUCUCAACCAUGUUUUGGAGGACAGAGGAAGAUAGACAAGAUAUCUGAAAAUUUUAUUAAUUUGUUUAAGAACAGUCUUGUUGAAAAGAAAUAAAAAGUUACAUCUUACAAGAUCACCAUUUAAUUUUCCGUUGGAGUAAUUGUAAUCAUCUUCAGCACCUGGUUCAGUGAAUUCCCUAAGAACUGAAGCAACUUCUGAGGUGAGACCAACUUGAUCAUUUGGUGAACCAUCUUGCGAAUUCAAAUUUCGGAAGACAUCAAAAUGGUGUAGAAGAAGAAUUGUGGGUGAAUAUCUUUGAGCCGUGUUGAAAGCUUGAGCGAGUGCAAUAGAUGUAUUCCUGUCAGAGGAUGUCAUAAGAUUAUGACAGCUGAAUUCCACAACAUGAAGGCCCAAGCGACAGGAAAUGUAUCUAACUACUGUCCUCUUUCCACAUCCUUCUGGACCAUAUAGUAGGACAGAAACUCUGAAUUUUGAAGAAAGUGCUGAUGGGCACAAAGGUGGUGCAAGUAUGGAGGCCAAAGUUUUUGCUGUGUCCACUUGGAAAGGGGAAAAACCUUUGGCUCCAUCAAUCAACAGAUCUGGGGGAAGAGCAGAAGGAACAGCCCCCCCAAGAACUAAAGCUGUUUUAGUGUGAUUCACUCGAAGAAUGGUUUCAUCGGAUGGCUCCAUAGCCACAACCUUGAAGUAGAUGAGGUUAUUAUUUCUAUUUUGUGACCUUUGGCUGCAAGGAAUGCAAAUAACUGAAUUGCAAUUCCAAUUUAUGCAGAUGUUGAAAAUAUCACCUCUUGCUAGGUAUCUAUCAACUUCAAAAUAGUUGUGUAAUGCCAAAUCAAUCAAUUCUUGGCGAUCUUCGGCUUCAACUGAUGAACUUCCUUUCAAAGAUUCCAGAGUACCACAUUCUGGUAUCUUAACAAAAGAAACUCUCAAGUGUGAGGCAUAUCUUGGCAGUUGAGCCAAGGGUUCCAAUCCUAAAGUGAUUAAAGAACCAUCACUAACUUCUCUAGUAGUCUUAUCAUCCACCUUACUGUCAAAAAGUGCUGCUAAGGUCUCAUUCCCUUGGUGGACAAGUGAUUUCAAACAAGAUACAUGUAAGUCAAGGUUAAACGCUAAUAGAGGAGAGAGAUAUGCAAUAUCUUGGUCCAAUAAUGGAGGGUCAUCUGAAGGAAGUCUAUAUGAAGGAAAGACAAGCAUUGUGUUGGGAGAAUGAGAAACUGGUCCUUUAUCACCAGAUGCAUGUCCAUGGGUCCUGGGGGGAUCUAGAAUGACAACCUGGGCAAUCCUCUGUACAUUUGUUUCAAUAUUCUUGAUAAGCACCUAGUUUUGAACAGAGAAGGGGAGGAAAAUUACAUCAGCCGUUGGCUUUUACAAGAAAUCGAUAAAAUGUUUAAAAAAAAAAAGGAGAACAAUAAGAAGUUAUAGGUAAUUUCACACCACAAAAUCUAGUCUGUUACAGUUCAAUUGAGGUCAUUAUGCAUGGCAGUAAACAAUUUUGUAAUCACUAAUCAGCAAAUAUUAAUAGCAGCAAAUUACAUUUCAUUUCUAUGAAUUUGCAAAGCAAAAGAUUGUUGCAGAAUAAUGUGGGCAAGAAACUAUGUUUCCUCUGGUUUCUUGAACCCAUUAAGAAAGAGUGGGGACAAAAUAACAAAACCAGAGUAAAACUGACAAUGAAUCCUCCAAGAAAAAAGGAGGUUAAUUUCCAAUCAUUCAUAAAUUUUUCUGUUCAACUACGCCAAAUAACUCGGCAGAUAAAAGUUGAGUGAAAUUUUAUUUUCUAGGUCCGACUGCCAAAAAGUACAGCAUCGAAAACCUUCCUUCUGUUUUAUCUUCCUAUCCACCAAACAGCUUACCUUACUUACUGCCCCUUGCAAUUUAGUCAGUGAAAGCUUACCAGCGAACCAGAAGUUACAGCCAAUCGUUUGAGAACAGCAAUCGAAAGCCCAACCAAAGCAGAAUCGUCAAGAGAAGUUAGUUUAGAAUCUGAAACGCCGAUAUUGGCCUUCGAAAAUCGGAGAAUUCCCGCUGGUAAUAGCAAACUCGGCGACACAUCAUCUCCGGGGAGUCGGACCCCUUCACAGAGAGUGGACGAGCUGAGUACAGAAUCAACGAGGAAUUUGGUUGAAGAGAGAACCAGAGGCUUCCUCCUUCUCUCGACCAUUGUUGCACAGAGUUAGCCGCAGUAUAAAACCCUAAUUCUCUAGAAUAUCCAUGUAUCCUAACGAAAAUACGCAGGUGAAGUAAGAAAACAGCAGCACAGCCUGGGCCUGAUAUUGCACUAAUGCAGUUAGAUAUGAACUGCGAAAGGCGUAAUCGAUGAAAAUUUCCUUACGUUCGCAUUGGUCCUUGCAAUGUUGACGCCAAAAUUAACCGUUCAACGUAAGCGUGUGCUUUUGGUUUUUCCCUCUCCCUUUUGGGCUGGGCCUCUGUCUCCAUCCUUCUCUGAAAAAAAAAAUGUUUUUUAGCUAAAUUUGUUUAUAAAUACAACGUUUCUUUCAGGAUUAAGUCGAUAGCAUUCUUAAAAUUCCGUUAGAAUUCGACGUGCGAGGAAGACAAAAGAAUCUGGCAUUUUGAGAAGAAAGGCUUUUACUCAGUUGGAUCUGCUCACAAGAUCCUUCUCAAUAAUUCAGAAAUCCCUAGAGCUACUGGGGUGUCCUCAGGAUGAAGAAUUUGUGGAGGCUUAAAAUCCCUCCAAAGGUAAAGGAUUUUUUAUGGAGAGCAUGUCGAAAUAUCCUUCCAACUGCAGAUAUGUUAGCUUUUCGAGGGGUGCAAGUGUGAGUUUGUGCUUGAGCUGUGGUGGGGAUGAGAGCACUAGCCGUGUGUUGCUUUCUUGUCCUAAGGUUGUGUGCUGUUGGAACAUUUUGGGUUUAAGCAGUAAUCAGCUUGGGCAGGAUUUUAGUGAAUUUUUCAUGAGUUUUCUG
This 4945-nucleotide unclassified non-coding RNA is filed under the name Hevea brasiliensis (rubber tree). Lineage: Eukaryota; Viridiplantae; Streptophyta; Magnoliopsida; Malpighiales; Euphorbiaceae. The record is from RNAcentral.